GACGAACGCUGGCGGCGUGCCUAAUACAUGCAAGUCGAGCGGAAGUUGAAGAGCUUGCUCUUCAACUUCAGCGGCGGACGGGUGAGUAACACGUGGGCAACCUGCCCUGCAGAUCGGGAUAACUCCGGGAAACCGGUGCUAAUACCGAAUAGUUUGUCCUCCCUCCUGGGAGGAUACGGAAAGACGGUUUCGGCUGUCACUGCAGGAUGGGCCCGCGGCGCAUUAGCUAGUUGGUGGGGUAACGGCCCACCAAGGCCACGAUGCGUAGCCGACCUGAGAGGGUGAUCGGCCACACUGGGACUGAGACACGGCCCAGACUCCUACGGGAGGCAGCAGUAGGGAAUCUUCCGCAAUGGACGCAAGUCUGACGGAGCAACGCCGCGUGAGUGAUGAAGGUUUUCGGAUCGUAAAACUCUGUUGCGAGGGAAGAAACCGUGCCAAUUAACUACUGGCACCUUGACGGUACCUCGCCAGAAAGCCACGGCUAACUAC
Molecule: ribosomal RNA, 492 nt
Filed under: uncultured Bacillota bacterium
Lineage: Bacteria; Bacillati; Bacillota
Description: bacterial SSU rRNA
Rfam family: Bacterial small subunit ribosomal RNA
Source: RNAcentral